GAUGAACGCUGGCGGCGUGCCUAAUACAUGCAAGUCGAGCGAACAGACGAGGAGCUUGCUCCUCUGACGUUAGCGGCGGACGGGUGAGUAACACGUGGAUAACCUACCUAUAAGACUGGGAUAACUUCGGGAAACCGGAGCUAAUACCGGAUAAUAUAUUGAACCGCAUGGUUCCAUAGUUAAAGACGGUUUUGCUGUCACUUAUAGAUUGAUCCGCGCACCAUUAGCUAGUUGGUAAGGUAACGGCUUACCAAGGCGACGAUGCGAACCCGACCUGAGAGGGUGAUCGGCCACACUGGAACUGAGACACGGUCCAGACACUUACGGGAGGCAGCAGUAGGGAAUCCUCCGCAAUGGGCGAAAGCCUGACGGAGCAACGCCGCGUGAGUGAUGAAGGUCUUCUGAUCGGAAAACUCUGUUAUUAGGGAAGAACAAAUGUGUAAGUAACUAUGCACGUCUUGACGGUACCUAAUCAGAAAGCCACGGCUAACUACGUG
This 497-nucleotide ribosomal RNA is filed under the name uncultured bacterium. RNAcentral describes it as "partial 16S ribosomal RNA". It matches the Rfam family "Bacterial small subunit ribosomal RNA", at positions 28 to 507 of the family's 1533-position model. The record is from RNAcentral.